This 482-nucleotide ribosomal RNA is filed under the name uncultured bacterium. RNAcentral's name for it is "partial 16S ribosomal RNA". It matches the Rfam family "Bacterial small subunit ribosomal RNA", at positions 30 to 507 of the family's 1533-position model. The record is from RNAcentral.
AUUGAACGCUGGCGGCAUGCUUUACACAUGCAAGUCGAACGGUAACAGCACUUCGGUGGCUGACGAGUGGCGAACGGGUGAGUAAUACAUCGGAACGUGCCUAGUAGUGGGGGAUAACUACUCGAAAGAGUAGCUAAUACCGCAUGAGAUCUAAGGAUGAAAGCCGGGGACCUUCGGGCCUUGCGCUACUAGAGCGGCUGAUGGCAGAUUAGGUAGUUGGUGGGAUAAAAGCUUACCAAGCCGACGAUCUGUAGCUGGUCUGAGAGGACGACCAGCCACACUGGAACUUGGCCACGGCCCAGACUCCUACGGGAGGCAGCAGUGGGGAAUGUUGGACAAUGGGCGCAAGCCUGAUCCAGCAAUGCCGCGUGCAGGAUGAAGGCCUUCGGGUUGUAAACUGCUUUUGUACGGAACGAAAAGCCCUCUUCUAAUACAGGAGGGUCAUGACGGUACCGUAAGAAUAAGCACCGGCUAACUACGUG